AUAAAAACCACACACAAGAUGAUGGGUUUCAAAAUAAACUUUUUAUUCAUACUUAUUGUUCUUAAUAUAUUUAGCAUGGAAUACUUAUGUCAAGCAAAGAAAGAAAAACGUGAACUGCCUAAAUUGUGUGGUCUUAAUUUUGACAUUGGUUCUUGCUGCGGGCAGAAGAUGAAAAUGAAAAAAGAAGUUCAAUGGAAAUUUUAUUAUGUGCCAUCUAAGAAAGAUUGUCAUAUUUUCAAGUACUACGGCUGCGGAGGAAAUAAUAAUAGUUUUACAAAUUAUAAAGAUUGCAUAGAAACAUGCAAAUAAUAGUACUCUAUAUAUCUUAACAGUGAAGAGUAUUUUAAAUCUAUUCGAGAAUAUAAAAUUCUUUAAAACAUAACAUUAUUAAAGUUUUCCUAUAUAUUGAUAUGUAUUUGUCAUAGUUGGAUAUUGAGUUUAAAUUAAAGUACUAAAUGGAAGAUCUUGUAAAGUUUUUAUAAUAUACUUUUAAAAGUAUUUUUUUUUUGCAAUAAUUGACUGUAAUAAAAUGAAUUUUGCGAAUAUGUAUAUGAAAUAUGUAAAAAUAUAUAUGUAAAUAAAGGAUUAAACUAC
Non-coding RNA from Linepithema humile (Argentine ant), 594 nucleotides. NCBI's taxonomy places the organism in Eukaryota, Metazoa, Arthropoda, Insecta, Hymenoptera, Formicidae. The record is from RefSeq and is a predicted model, not a curated record.